UGAUUCAGUUGGUAGAGCAUGGUGUUUGCAACGCCAGGGUUGUGGGUUCGAUUCCCAC
Non-coding RNA from Salmo salar (Atlantic salmon), 58 nucleotides. The record is from Rfam. NCBI's taxonomy places the organism in Eukaryota, Metazoa, Chordata, Actinopteri, Salmoniformes, Salmonidae.